RNAcentral lists this small RNA (182 nucleotides) under Haloechinothrix halophila YIM 93223. RNAcentral describes it as "Amycolatopsis halophila YIM 93223 Actinobacteria sRNA Ms_IGR-5". It matches the Rfam family "Actinobacteria sRNA Ms_IGR-5". The record is from Rfam by way of RNAcentral. Lineage: Bacteria; Bacillati; Actinomycetota; Actinomycetes; Pseudonocardiales; Pseudonocardiaceae.
ACACGGGAAAGGAGGUGAUCCGAUAGAUGAUUGGUUAUCGGACGCGUGAGGUGGUCGCCGGCUGACGCUGGGACCAAUGCGAACCACGUCGCCAAUUCCAGGCGGCCACCCGGCCCCCGAGCAUCGGUGUUCGUCCAGCCGACUCCGCUGUCACAGUGGGAAGCGCUCGGGGGCCGCCCCAU